Molecule: ribosomal RNA, 497 nt
Filed under: uncultured bacterium
Lineage: Bacteria
Description: partial 16S ribosomal RNA
Rfam family: Bacterial small subunit ribosomal RNA
Source: RNAcentral
GAUGAACGCUGGCGGCGUGCCUAACACAUGCAAGUCGAGCGAACAGACGAGGAGCUUGGUCCUAUGACGUUAGCAGCGGAGGGGAGCGUAACACAUGGAUAACCUAACUAUCAGAAUGGGAUAAUAAUGGGAGACCGGAGCUACUACCCAAAGAUUUAUUGAACUGCAUGGUUCACUAGUGAAAGUAGGUAUUUGUGUGACUAAUAGAUUACUCCGCCCCUCAUUAGUUAGUUGGUAAGGUAACGGCUUACCAAGGCUACGAUGCGUACCCGACCUGAGAGGGUGAUCGGCCACCUUGGAUCUGAGACACGGCCCAGACUCCGACGGUAGGCAGCAGUAGGGAAUCUUCCGCAAUGGGCCAAUGCUUGACGGAGCAACGCGGCGUGAGGGAUGAAGGUGUUCGGAUCGUAGAACUCUGUUAUUAGGGAAGUACAAAUGUGUAAGUAACUAUGCACGUCUUGACGGUACCUAAUCAGAAAGCCACGGCUAACUACGUG